CCAAUAGCGUAUAUUAAAGUUGUUGCAGUUAAAAAGCUCGUAGUUGAAUUUCGGGAUUGACGUGAUGGUCGUGCCUUAAGGGGUAUGAACUGUUACUGUUGAUUUCUCACCUUCUGGAGAAUCUUGAUGUCCUUAAUUGGGUGUCUUGUGGAUCCAGGACCUUUACCUUGAAAAAAUUAGAGUGUUUAAAGCAGGCAUUU
Molecule: ribosomal RNA, 200 nt
Filed under: uncultured Glomus
Lineage: Eukaryota; Fungi; Glomeromycota; Glomeromycetes; Glomerales; Glomeraceae
Description: partial small subunit ribosomal RNA
Rfam family: Eukaryotic small subunit ribosomal RNA
Source: RNAcentral